GGGUUGUGAGGUUAAGCGACUAAGCGUACACGGUGGAUGCCCUGGCAGUCAGAGGCGAUGAAGGACGUGCUAAUCUGCGAUAAGCGUCGGUAAGGUGAUAUGAACCGUUAUAACCGGCGAUUUCCGAAUGGGGAAACCCAGUGUGAUUCGUCACACUAUCAUUAACUGAAUCCAUAGGUUAAUGAGGCGAACCGGGGGAACUGAAACAUCUAAGUACCCCGAGGAAAAGAAAUCAACCGAGAUUCCCCCAGUAGCGGCGAGCGAACGGGGAGCAGCCCAGAGCCUGAAUCAGUGUGUGUGUUAGUGGAAGCGUCUGGAAAGGCGCGCGAUACAGGGUGACAGCCCCGUACACAAAAAUGCACAUGCUGUGAGCUCGAUGAGUAGGGCGGGACACGUGGUAUCCUGUCUGAAUAUGGGGGGACCAUCCUCCAAGGCUAAAUACUCCUGACUGACCGAUAGUGAACCAGUACCGUGAGGGAAAGGCGAAAAGAACCCCGGCGAGGGGAGUGAAAAAGAACCUGAAACCGUGUACGUACAAGCAGUGGGAGCACGCUUAGGCGUGUGACUGCGUACCUUUUGUAUAAUGGGUCAGCGACUUAUAUUCUGUAGCAAGGUUAACCGAAUAGGGGAGCCGAAGGGAAACCGAGUCUUAACUGGGCGUUAAGUUGCAGGGUAUAGACCCGAAACCCGGUGAUCUAGCCAUGGGCAGGUUGAAGGUUGGGUAACACUAACUGGAGGACCGAACCGACUAAUGUUGAAAAAUUAGCGGAUGACUUGUGGCUGGGGGUGAAAGGCCAAUCAAACCGGGAGAUAGCUGGUUCUCCCCGAAAGCUAUUUAGGUAGCGCCUCGUGAAUUCAUCUCCGGGGGUAGAGCACUGUUUCGGCAAGGGGGUCAUCCCGACUUACCAACCCGAUGCAAACUGCGAAUACCGGAGAAUGUUAUCACGGGAGACACACGGCGGGUGCUAACGUCCGUCGUGAAGAGGGAAACAACCCAGACCGCCAGCUAAGGUCCCAAAGUCAUGGUUAAGUGGGAAACGAUGUGGGAAGGCCCAGACAGCCAGGAUGUUGGCUUAGAAGCAGCCAUCAUUUAAAGAAAGCGUAAUAGCUCACUGGUCGAGUCGGCCUGCGCGGAAGAUGUAACGGGGCUAAACCAUGCACCGAAGCUGCGGCAGCGACGCUUAUGCGUUGUUGGGUAGGGGAGCGUUCUGUAAGCCUGCGAAGGUGUGCUGUGAGGCAUGCUGGAGGUAUCAGAAGUGCGAAUGCUGACAUAAGUAACGAUAAAGCGGGUGAAAAGCCCGCUCGCCGGAAGACCAAGGGUUCCUGUCCAACGUUAAUCGGGGCAGGGUGAGUCGACCCCUAAGGCGAGGCCGAAAGGCGUAGUCGAUGGGAAACAGGUUAAUAUUCCUGUACUUGGUGUUACUGCGAAGGGGGGACGGAGAAGGCUAUGUUGGCCGGGCGACGGUUGUCCCGGUUUAAGCGUGUAGGCUGGUUUUCCAGGCAAAUCCGGAAAAUCAAGGCUGAGGCGUGAUGACGAGGCACUACGGUGCUGAAGCAACAAAUGCCCUGCUUCCAGGAAAAGCCUCUAAGCAUCAGGUAACAUCAAAUCGUACCCCAAACCGACACAGGUGGUCAGGUAGAGAAUACCAAGGCGCUUGAGAGAACUCGGGUGAAGGAACUAGGCAAAAUGGUGCCGUAACUUCGGGAGAAGGCACGCUGAUAUGUAGGUGAAGCGACUUGCUCGUGGAGCUGAAAUCAGUCGAAGAUACCAGCUGGCUGCAACUGUUUAUUAAAAACACAGCACUGUGCAAACACGAAAGUGGACGUAUACGGUGUGACGCCUGCCCGGUGCCGGAAGGUUAAUUGAUGGGGUCAGCGCAAGCGAAGCUCUUGAUCGAAGCCCCGGUAAACGGCGGCCGUAACUAUAACGGUCCUAAGGUAGCGAAAUUCCUUGUCGGGUAAGUUCCGACCUGCACGAAUGGCGUAAUGAUGGCCAGGCUGUCUCCACCCGAGACUCAGUGAAAUUGAACUCGCUGUGAAGAUGCAGUGUACCCGCGGCAAGACGGAAAGACCCCGUGAACCUUUACUAUAGCUUGACACUGAACAUUGAGCCUUGAUGUGUAGGAUAGGUGGGAGGCUUUGAAGUGUGGACGCCAGUCUGCAUGGAGCCGACCUUGAAAUACCACCCUUUAAUGUUUGAUGUUCUAACGUUGACCCGUAAUCCGGGUUGCGGACAGUGUCUGGUGGGUAGUUUGACUGGGGCGGUCUCCUCCUAAAGAGUAACGGAGGAGCACGAAGGUUGGCUAAUCCUGGUCGGACAUCAGGAGGUUAGUGCAAUGGCAUAAGCCAGCUUGACUGCGAGCGUGACGGCGCGAGCAGGUGCGAAAGCAGGUCAUAGUGAUCCGGUGGUUCUGAAUGGAAGGGCCAUCGCUCAACGGAUAAAAGGUACUCCGGGGAUAACAGGCUGAUACCGCCCAAGAGUUCAUAUCGACGGCGGUGUUUGGCACCUCGAUGUCGGCUCAUCACAUCCUGGGGCUGAAGUAGGUCCCAAGGGUAUGGCUGUUCGCCAUUUAAAGUGGUACGCGAGCUGGGUUUAGAACGUCGUGAGACAGUUCGGUCCCUAUCUGCCGUGGGCGCUGGAGAACUGAGGGGGGCUGCUCCUAGUACGAGAGGACCGGAGUGGACGCAUCACUGGUGUUCGGGUUGUCAUGCCAAUGGCACUGCCCGGUAGCUAAAUGCGGAAGAGAUAAGUGCUGAAAGCAUCUAAGCACGAAACUUGCCCCGAGAUGAGUUCUCCCUGACUCCUUGAGAGUCCUGAAGGAACGUUGAAGACGACGACGUUGAUAGGCCGGGUGUGUAAGCGCAGCGAUGCGUUGAGCUAACCGGUACUAAUGAACCGUGAGGCUUAACCUUACAACGCCGAAGGUGUUU
Molecule: ribosomal RNA, 2931 nt
Filed under: Escherichia coli
Lineage: Bacteria; Pseudomonadati; Pseudomonadota; Gammaproteobacteria; Enterobacterales; Enterobacteriaceae
Description: 23S ribosomal RNA
Rfam family: Bacterial large subunit ribosomal RNA
Source: RNAcentral